Xenopus laevis (African clawed frog) is the source of this 756-nucleotide long non-coding RNA. RefSeq lists it as uncharacterized. The transcript is spliced from 3 exons. Lineage: Eukaryota; Metazoa; Chordata; Amphibia; Anura; Pipidae. The record is from RefSeq and is a predicted model, not a curated record.
AGGUGCUUGAGAACAAUUUUAUAUUAAUAAAUAGUCCCUGAACUCUUUAUACACUUCUUGGUGCCGAGCCUUGUAGUCGGUGCUUUAUUCUCCUUUUUAUUUCCCCAUAAGGGACUCGGAACAGUCAGUAUUUUUAUUUCCAUCUCUCUUAUGUUCUAUUCUACAGAGCCAUUCAUUUGUCUCAGAUGGAGCUCUGCAUCUUGACAGAGACCAUUUCAUUUUUACUGAUGGAUUAAAAGGAUGAGAGAGAAUUCUAUUUCCAGCGGCAGGGACCUUCGUUAGAAGCAAAGGACCUUGUUCCAGAGCUGGGUUUCUAAAGUGCAGAAAAACAUGGAUGCAGCCUUGAACCGAAAAGGGCAAGACCAACGAAAAGAAAACAGGAAGAAUCUGAGAGCACAAUAAUGGACAAAGACAAGUGCCUACAGAUUGGGUUUGCUGAGAUGGGCGUUGAAGAACUUGACCACCCAGAGAUAUGAUCUCAACCCAAAUGAAGUCCUGUUGGAUGAGUUGUGAUCCCAACUGCAAGCCAGGCCUCAACCCCAGCAUCAGUGACCAGUGUCUUGCAUGUAAAUGGAAGCAAAUCACACCAACAAGGUACCAACAUCUAGUGGGCUUCUUCUCAGAAGAGAUGGGGCUGUUCUAGCAGCAAAGGGUGGGACAUUUCAUAUUAAUCCCUUGGGUUUUGUGAUGAAAUAUUGGACAGGUGCCCAGUACACUUCAUACAUUACAUUACAUAAGGGGCACAUUUACUAAGGG